This 255-nucleotide long non-coding RNA is filed under the name Actinidia chinensis (golden kiwifruit). RNAcentral's name for it is "long non-coding RNA (ACHI_LNC009552)". Lineage: Eukaryota; Viridiplantae; Streptophyta; Magnoliopsida; Ericales; Actinidiaceae. The record is from RNAcentral.
GAUAUUAGAAAAAAUAGCUACGAUAUUACGCACUUCCAUCUUAGAUUUACACCAAAUUUGGUUGAUGAUUAUGAGAAGUGAGCUCCUUUCUCACUAGCUUGGCUUCUAACUGAAGUAGGCUAAAAAUUGACUUGCAUUGGAUUCUGGUACCCCCUAAAUAUUACGCACUUCCAUCUUAGAACAUUUAUUAUUUUUUUUGCAAGGAAUUAGAAAGACUAAUUGUGAUUUUUUUGUGUCUGAUAUUUUCAGUGGUUG